Molecule: long non-coding RNA, 618 nt
Organism: Lagopus leucura (white-tailed ptarmigan)
Lineage: Eukaryota; Metazoa; Chordata; Aves; Galliformes; Phasianidae
Exons: 3
Source: RefSeq, a predicted model, not a curated record
CCUCCUCUGGGGAGUCUUUCCUGUGAGUCUAGAUCUUCAGAUACAGGCCAUAAGGGAUGCUCUGUUUAUUACUGCAAACAUGUUGAAAACACUUCAGAAGAAAUAUUUUAAUUCCCUUAAAAAGAAUGAUCCAUGUUACUCCAGAAGAAAAGAGGAUUGAUUCAUCAGUACUCUGUAGCCUUUUGUGAUGAUCAGAAACUCCUGGUGUGAGGAAGCAAUGCCUCAAAUGGAAGUGAAAGUAAUCUGCAUGUUGCUGAGCAUGUUUAUUUGUUCCAGUAGGUCAUGUAAAGCCUGUUCUCGUUUCUACACAUUGUUUUUUAUCCUGCACAUUGUUUUUUUAUUUUGCUUUCAGUAACUGAAUUGUGCUCAACAAAAAAAACUCUGACGUUGUUCUCCCCUUCUCCUUUUUGGCGGCAAAGGUAGUUCAGUUAACAGAUCUGAACAGUGUUUUCACUGCGCCUAAUCACCCCCAUUGUUAAAAACAUCAGAUCUACUGGCCUAGUGCUCCUGUCAGGCCAGAAAAAAACAAUUCUCCCACCCUUUUUAUCGCCCAGCAUCUUCUCUGUCAUUCAUUUACUGUGCUGAAACCUGCUUGUGCUUCUCUACAUCUCUGCAAUA